RNAcentral lists this ribosomal RNA (433 nucleotides) under uncultured bacterium. Its description in RNAcentral is "partial 16S ribosomal RNA". It matches the Rfam family "Bacterial small subunit ribosomal RNA", at positions 29 to 507 of the family's 1533-position model. The record is from RNAcentral.
AACGAACGCUGGCGGCAUGCCUAACACAUGCAAGUCGAACGAGACCUUCGGGCCUAGUGGCGCACGGGUGCGUAACGCGUGGGAACCUGCCCUUAGGUUCGGAAUAACUCCCCGAAAGGGGUGCUAAUACCGGAUAAUGUCUUCGGACCAAAGAUUUAUCGCCUUUGGAUGGGCCCGCGUUGGUUUAGCUAGUUGGUAGGGUAAAAGCCUACCAAGGCGACGAUCCAUAGCUGGUCUGAGAGGAUGAUCAGCCACACUGGGACUGAGACACGGCCCAGACUCCUACGGAAGGAAGGAGUGGAGAAUAUUGGACAAUGGGCGAAAGCCUGAUCCAGCCAUGCCGGGUGAGUGAUGAAGGCCUUAGGGUUGUAAAGCUCUUUUACCCGGGAUGAUAAUGACAGUACCGGGAGAAUAAGCACCGGCUAACUCCGUG